GUAGUCUGCAACUCGACUACAUGAAGCUGGAAUCGCUGUAAUCGCGGAUCAGAAUGCCGCGGUGAAUACGUUCCCGGGUCUUGUACACACCACCCGUCACACCAUGGGAGUCGGGAAUGCCCGAAGCCAGUGACCCAAGCGAAAGCAGGAGCUGUCGAAGGCAGGCCGGAUAACUGGGGUGAAGUCGUAACAAGGUAUC
RNAcentral lists this ribosomal RNA (199 nucleotides) under uncultured bacterium. RNAcentral's name for it is "partial 16S ribosomal RNA". It matches the Rfam family "Bacterial small subunit ribosomal RNA", at positions 1300 to 1500 of the family's 1533-position model. The record is from RNAcentral.